This is a long non-coding RNA of Oncorhynchus nerka (sockeye salmon), 258 nucleotides long. RefSeq lists it as uncharacterized. The record is from RefSeq and is a predicted model, not a curated record. The transcript has 2 exons. NCBI's taxonomy places the organism in Eukaryota, Metazoa, Chordata, Actinopteri, Salmoniformes, Salmonidae.
UGAAAGUUGACGCAAAGGCAUCCAAACGUGCAGCAAUUCUGAUUUUUGUUUUAGCUUAUACAUAACGCAUUUUUUUAUGAUCAAAUUGUCCAGAUUUGUUGAAAAGCCUUCAUAAACAAUCGAACUGUAUCUCAUGGUGUUCUGAAAGUAAUCUGAACGUUAUGUCAGCUCUCUACAAGGACAGGUUGCAGCUAUUGUUCACCCUUUUUAAUUACAAUGUUUUUAUUUUGCUGUUUAAAUAAAUAACAUUAUAACCUG